This 497-nucleotide ribosomal RNA is filed under the name uncultured bacterium. RNAcentral's name for it is "partial 16S ribosomal RNA". It matches the Rfam family "Bacterial small subunit ribosomal RNA", at positions 28 to 507 of the family's 1533-position model. The record is from RNAcentral.
GAUGAACGCUGGCGGCGUGCCUAAUACAUGCAAGUCGAGCGAACGGACGAGAAGCUUGCUUCUCUGAUGUUAGCGGCGGACGGGUGAGUAACACGUGGAUAACCUACCUAUAAGACUGGGAUAACUUCGGGAAACCGGAGCUAAUACCGGAUGAUAUUUUGAACCGCAUGGUUCAAAAGUGAAAGACGGUCUUGCUGUCACUUAUAGAUGGAUCCGCGCUGCAUUAGCUAGUUGGUAAGGUAACGGCUUACCAAGGCAACGAUGCAUAGCCGACCUGAGAGGGUGAUCGGCCACACUGGAACUGAGACACGGUCCAGACUCCUACGGGAGGCAGCAGUAGGGAAUCUUCCGCAAUGGGCGAAAGCCUGACGGAGCAGCGCCGCGUGAGUGAUGAAGGUCUUCGGAUCGUAAAACUCUGUUAUGAGGGAAGAACAUAUGUGUAAGUAACUGUGCACAUCUUGACGGUACCUAAUCAGAAAGCCACGGCUAACUACGUG